RNAcentral lists this ribosomal RNA (439 nucleotides) under uncultured bacterium. RNAcentral's name for it is "partial 16S ribosomal RNA". It matches the Rfam family "Bacterial small subunit ribosomal RNA", at positions 342 to 795 of the family's 1533-position model. The record is from RNAcentral.
CGGGUGGCUGCACCAGUGAGGAAUAUUGCACAAUGGGGGGAACCCUGAUGCAGCAACGCCGCGUGGAGGAUGACGCAUUUCGGUGUGUAAACUCCUUUUAUAUGUCAAGAAAAUGACGGUAGCAUAUGAAUAAGCACCGGCUAACUCCGUGCCAGCAGCCGCGGUAAUACGGAGGGUGCAAGCGUUACUCGGAAUCACUGGGCGUAAAGGACGCGUAGGCGGGUUGGAAAGUCAGGUGUGAAAUCCUACAGCUUAACUGUAGAACUGCACUUGAAACUUCUAAUCUAGAGUAUGGGAGGGGGAGAUGGAAUUAGUGGUGUAGGGGUAAAAUCCGUAGAUAUCACUAGGAAUACCUAAAGCGAAGGCGAUCUCCUGGAACAUUACUGACGCUAAGGCGUGAAAGCGUGGGGAGCAAACAGGAUUAGAUACCCUAGUAGUC